Molecule: non-coding RNA, 2146 nt
Organism: Phasianus colchicus (ring-necked pheasant)
Lineage: Eukaryota; Metazoa; Chordata; Aves; Galliformes; Phasianidae
Source: RefSeq, a predicted model, not a curated record
GAUUAAAAAUAGUUUUGUCUGUCUGUUUGUCUGUUUAUUUGUUUUUCUUUUAGCAGAGAAGGCCAAACAAAACCCAUUCUGAAAUCAGAAGGCAGAAAGACUUGAGUCUCAGGGAAGAAGCAGGAACACCAACCUUAAUUCCUUCACUUGUUGAGGAAGAUUCAGAAUCUCCCUUUGCAUGGAGGAGCUCAGAACUUUAGGUGGAAGACAAAAUGGUUGCAGACACAGAGGACUUUCCAGUCUGGCACAUCUCCCACGAGGCACGUUACAACUCGGGUCAUUACAGAAGAGUUCUUUCUGUCACCCAAAAACCUUGUAAGGUAACAUUGUCACUUUCCAGCCUGUACAAUUAAAAUGUGUUCUGCCUUCUUUAUAUCCUGGUAAUGCCAAUAUAACUUUUGUUGAAGAUAGGCUGAUAACUGAGAGGUACUAUUGCAGCAGGUCUCGUCCUGGGUUCUUUUUGCCAUUAAAAGUUUUGUUCUGGCUGAUGCACACAAAGGAUGCAUGACUCCUUCCAAAGUGAAAAUAAGCAAGUGUUGUAUAGUUUAACACUCUAGUUUUAGCCUCCAAACACAGAUGUUAAAUUAAGUGUUUUGUGUAUGUGUGUGUUUGAAGUGCAUGAAUAUAUCAUCUUGGCAAUAUAGACAAAAGUCUUCAAGAAUCUCUGAGCAGUAGCUGUGGUCAGCAUUGUGCAGAACUGCAAUUUGGGAGUAGAUGAGGUAUGCUUAUGCUGAGUCAUGCUUUGACAGUUUCUAUUUCUCAUUCCUUUUUACUCAUUUUAAGAUAUUUCUACUGUUCAUUAUUUCACAGUGCAAUGAAGCUCACAGAUUUUAGCAGGUAUACGUUAAUAUGCACCAACCAACAUAAGAGUACAGAAAUGAGUACUUCUGUAAUGCUCAGGAAAGUUCAUGUUAGAGGAGGAUCUAAUAAUGAUGUUGGUCAAUAGCUUAAAGUAUAAGAGAAUGUAUAGUAAUAGAAUCCCUUUGAAAUUCACAUGUAUCUCAUCACACUCCACAUAUAUCAAAACAAUAUUGCACCGAUGGGAAACAUAUAUUAUUAUAUAAAUCUUCCAAGAACAAUAUUUAAGUGGUCUAAACUCCUUAAGUAAAAAUACCUGUGCCAUAGGCUGAUUGGACAUGCCCUUUCCUGAAAUGUGGGUUGUAACCUGUGAAAGAAGAUACUUUCUCCUAAAGACAUAUGCAUCUAGUAAAGGAUGAGACAUGCUAGUACUAUGAACCAGGAAGGUAACAGCAAGCUCCUGUCUGGAAACCAUACUGCUUCAUAGAACCGAGUCUGUGCUAACCAGUUGUGAGAGUAGGCAAGAACUACAUGUAAGGAAGAAGGACCUACAAUCAUAGCUUGGUGUAUCUCCUGGAAUAGAGCUGAGUUGUGACCUGCCUAUUCAUGCUACAGGCAUAGCUAGUAAGUGACUGUACCUGGCAAAAUAAACAUGCCCAUACACUGGAUAUUGGAUAACACCAACUUGCACAGGAUGUACAGGGUCCUUAGGGCAUCUCUGUGAGGUGUGAGCCUGGAUUUGCUCAUCUAUAUUCUUUUUUUAAUGUUGUUUAAAAGCAAAUUGCAGUGCAGCGCAUAAUGGUGAAAUUAACCUCAAAGGGAACAAAAAAUGCUCUUUGCUAACGUAUGUGAAUCAUACAAUAUGCUUUCUUUUUUAAAAUCAAAUGUUUGUUAUUUGGGGCAUGGAGGAGAGAAAGGGGGGGGUAUGGAUUUUUAUUACAAAAUAUUAAUUAUUUUUGAAGAAAUAAAAUCUAAGCAUUUUGAAAAUUAAGCACAGAAGCCUGUUUUCAAGACUCUUUUCCAUUAAGCUGUCUUCUUAUAAGGCUGUAUCAACUCAACUUUGAUCUGAAGCACAUCACUCAUCACUUUAUACUAUCCUUAAAUAAAAUAAAACAAACCCAUAAAAGUUUGGCACCCGAGGACAGCUGUCACAAAGGAGAGAGCCAAUACAGUGUGCGUUUAGGGCCUGACUUACGUGUUCUACGUAACUACACCUAUUAAAAAAUAUUUAACUUCUAUUCAAACUGUAAAUCCCUCCCUUGCCUUUAUUCAAAAGUACCAUGACAGUAUGAAGUGCACUGAACUGUAUUACCUUGAUAUAGGAAAAAAUACCAGUAAUCCCCUUGCU